Molecule: long non-coding RNA, 1608 nt
Organism: Equus caballus (horse)
Lineage: Eukaryota; Metazoa; Chordata; Mammalia; Perissodactyla; Equidae
Source: RefSeq, a predicted model, not a curated record
AGAGGCAGUUGGGGAGGCAGCUCUGAGGGGGGAGGACAGUUGGAAGAAUGAGAAAGCUUUCCGAGAGGGAUGCUCAAGGGGGAAAGUUUCCGAUCCUAGAGGACCAGAUGAACCAUAGUGCUGUGAGCCAAAACAGGGAAGCUGGGAGAGGAUGGAGGCUUGAGAGAUAGUGCUCGACAAAUGCUGCCAUUAAUUAGAGGGCAAGAAGAGAAUGAAGGAGCAACUCCAGGGGCUGCAGAGGAAAUCAAGGCGGUGCAGUCACUGGAGCCCUGGGACGAACAGGUUUUCAGAAGUAGAAUGGAGUCAUCAUGAUAUCAAGCAGCAGUGAGAGGACAGGGGAGCGUGCUUUGAGAUGACAAGGAGCUGGCCGAGACCGGAGGCUUCCCGCCCCGAGCCGGAGCCAGGAGUCCCCCAGAGGCGCAGCUGAGGAUGCCCGCACCUGCGGAGAGUCGGGACAGGAGCCCUCUUCCCCAGACGGGCGGCCCACGCACGGAGCUGCCUCCGCUCCAAGCCCGGUGGCCGCGGCCACGUCCACGCAUCCGCUCGGAGAGCCGUUGCCCCGGGGAGGGCAGCGUGAGAGGGCUGGCCACGCAUCUCUGCUGACUUCAUCUCCCAGCGAGGGGAGGACGGCGGCGGCGGAGUGCAAGCCCGAUGGAAAGCCAGACUGGACUCCGAAUGCCCCCACCGGCUGGGGGCCCUCUGCACGCUUCGCGGUGGUCUUCGGACCCGGAGCGCCCGGCCAGGCCUGCAGUUCUGCCACUGCUGGCUGUGCCACCUGGAAAAGUUAUCUAAACCUCUCUGUACCCCAGUCUCCUUCUUCGUCACCUGGUGAUCAUAACUGUCCUGACCUCAUUGGAUGGCUAUGAGGUUUAAACGAGGUAAUAUGUGCCCAAGGUUGUUCUGAACAGGGUUUCUUUUGUUUGGAAGGAUUAAAAAAAAAAAAUUGGAAUACUCUCUAAAAAGAGUAACUGACCUCAGUACCCUUGAGUGCCCGGUAUUGAAUGAGGGGGUUCACGAAUGGGCAUCAGGGUGGAUGGUCCUGCCUCCAACACUGCAAAGCCUUGUGUCGGUGUAUUGUAUAGAAAUACUUUUUUUGCCUAGGAGUCCACAGGCUAAGAUGCUCAAAGGGGUCGUGACUCAAGAUUGGGUGCCUAGGGGGUUUCAAGUGCCUUUGUUCUAGACUGGAGUUUCUCAGCCUUGGCACUAUUGACAUUUGGGGCCAGAUAAUUCUUUGUUGUGGGGGUCUGUCCUGUGCAUUGUAGGGUGGUUAGCAGCAUCGCCAGCUCUUUCCAUGAGAUGCCAGGAGCAUCCCCUCCAACUUGUGAUGAUCAAAAAUGUCUCCAGACAUUGCUAAAUGUCCUCGGGGGUGGGAGGGGGGCUCAAAAUUGCCUCUGGCUGAGAACUACGGCUUUGCAACAUUCCCUGUGGAGGACGUCCUCGGUAAGUUGAAGCUGAGCAAGAUUACUUUUCUGACCCUCAGUGGUCUCUGCCUACUUCUGUGCACUGUAUGGAGGGUCCAGUUACAUCCUGGCAAAGGCUUUUCAAAGUUGAUGGACCACAGACUUUCCAAGCCCCAGCCCUGUUUGCUGUCAACUAUUGGUUCCCAGA